This 208-nucleotide ribosomal RNA is filed under the name uncultured Anaerolineaceae bacterium. RNAcentral describes it as "partial 16S ribosomal RNA". It matches the Rfam family "Bacterial small subunit ribosomal RNA", at positions 568 to 775 of the family's 1533-position model. Lineage: Bacteria; Bacillati; Chloroflexota; Anaerolineae; Anaerolineales; Anaerolineaceae. The record is from RNAcentral.
UGUGUAGGUGGUUUGAUAAGUUGGAUGUGAAAGCUCCCGGCUUAACUGGGAGAGGUCGUUCAAAACUAUCAGACUCGAGAGUGGUAGAGGGAGGUGGAAUUCCGCGUGUAGUGGUGAAAUGCGUAGAUAUGCGGAGGAACACCAGUGGCGAAAGCGGCCUCCUGGACCAUUUCUGACACUCAGACACGAAAGCUAAGGUAGCAAACGG